AUUGAACGCUGGCGGCAUGCUUUACACAUGCAAGUCGAACGGUAACAGGCCUUCGGGUGCUGACGAGUGGCGAACGGGUGAGUAAUGCAUCGGAACGUGCCCAGAGGUGGGGGAUAACGCAGCGAAAGCUGUGCUAAUACCGCAUGUGAUCUGAGGAUGAAAGCGGGGGACCAGGCAGCAAUGUUUGGCCUCGCGCCUUUGGAGCGGCCGAUGUCAGAUUAGGUAGUUGGUGGGGUAAAGGCCUACCAAGCCGACGAUCGGUAGCUGGUCUGAGAGGACGACCAGCCACACUGGGACUGAGACACGGCCCAGACUCCUACGGGAGGCAGCAGUGGGGAAUUUUGGACAAUGGGCGCAAGCCUGAUCCAGCAAUGCCGCGUGCGGGAAGAAGGCCUUCGGGUUGUAAACCGCUUUUGUACGGAACGAAAAGGCUCUGGCUAAUACCUGGGGCUGAUGACGGUACCGUAAGAAUAAGCACCGGCUAACUACGUG
RNAcentral lists this ribosomal RNA (492 nucleotides) under uncultured bacterium. RNAcentral describes it as "partial 16S ribosomal RNA". It matches the Rfam family "Bacterial small subunit ribosomal RNA", at positions 30 to 507 of the family's 1533-position model. The record is from RNAcentral.